AAAAAAAAAAAAAAAACACUCUUUGCGUGUCUCUCAAAAAAAAAAAAAAAAAAAACUCUUUGCAUCUCUAUCAAACCCAAAAAAGAAAAGAAAAACAACACUCUUUGCAUGUCUCUAAAAAAAAAAAAGAAAAAAUUCAAAAAAAUAGCCCCGAAUAGAGAGUUUUCAUUCAAAAAAACAGUUCCAUACAUAUUAGAAAGAUCAACAUAUUUAUUGUCAAGUUACACUUAUCCAAAUGAAAAUUAAAAGAAGAGUUGUUCCGAUAUAGACCUUAGAGCAACUCCAUCGAGGAGCCCAAGCCCGGGGCUGGGGGGAGUCCAAGCCAAAAAGCCAGUUCCAGCGGGCCACUUUUGCCCGGGUUGGAGGCGGGACCCAUAAAGAUGGGCUAGCCCAAAGGCAACUCUUGCCCGAGUUCGAGCUCGAGGGGGGGAUGAUGUCAUCAUGCGUUGACGUCAAUCCUGUGCUCCACCAACAGCUAGAGGACAUAUAUUGUCGUCUGGGCACUCCGAUCGCCUGCUCUCCUCUAAUCCAAUGGCUGGG
This 540-nucleotide long non-coding RNA is filed under the name Prunus persica (peach). Its description in RNAcentral is "long non-coding RNA (PPER_LNC007163)". The record is from RNAcentral. Lineage: Eukaryota; Viridiplantae; Streptophyta; Magnoliopsida; Rosales; Rosaceae.